GAACUUGACUAUUAUGUGAAAAGGCAUGAAUAUGUUGGGGGGACGAUAAGACCCUAUAAAACUUGAUGAUUGGUGUGGAUUACUUUCGAUAUGAGUUUUAGGUAGGUUAACACGAUGGUCAUUGUGCUGGGGCGGCAGGAAUAAAACACUAACUGUUCUUAACAUAUAAUAAUUAUAAUUAUAGAUUGACCCCGAACUUCGGGUCUAAAGAGUAAGUUACUUUAGGGAUAACAGCGUUAUUUCUCUUGAGAGUUCAUAUCGACAGAGAUAUUUGCGACCUCGAUGUUGAAUUAAAGCUUUCUUUGGGGGCAGAAGUUCAAAGGAUAGGUCUGUUCGACCUUUAAAGCUUUACAUGAUUUGAGUUCAAACCGGUGUGAGCCAGGUUG
RNAcentral lists this ribosomal RNA (386 nucleotides) under Alpheus intrinsecus. Its description in RNAcentral is "partial 16S ribosomal RNA". It matches the Rfam family "Bacterial large subunit ribosomal RNA", at positions 2038 to 2633 of the family's 2925-position model. The record is from RNAcentral. Lineage: Eukaryota; Metazoa; Arthropoda; Malacostraca; Decapoda; Alpheidae.